Molecule: long non-coding RNA, 2638 nt
Organism: Felis catus (domestic cat)
Lineage: Eukaryota; Metazoa; Chordata; Mammalia; Carnivora; Felidae
Exons: 3
Source: RefSeq, a predicted model, not a curated record
GCCAUAUAUUGCCUGGAUGAGAUAAGGGCAUCCCUUUUGUGAGCGAGGAGCAGAGGUCCGACAUCUGGGUUACUGGCAAUGCCAAGCAGAAAUCACAUCAAGGUGAAUCCCAUGCCAAGCUCUGAAGCAGAGGGUUGUAGACACCUGAGCUGUGGACAGCAGACGCCCUGAAGUUUAACCCAUGAGGACCGCCCGCCAUUUCCUCAGCUGACUGCUUUCUCGGAUCCUUUCAAAGAGGCAUUUCCUAGUGAUGGUCAGACAGCAGAAACCCGUCCCAUCCAUGAGCCUAAUGUAAGCUUCAUAAGGAGAGCGCUGGGAGUUUCUCUUGUUUACCACCCAUCGAGUCCCUGGCAGAAAGUAGAUACUCAACAAAUAAGAGCCGAAUGAGAGAAUAAAUGGGGUCACCAGGUUGCCAGUGGAAUCCCUCCCACCUUCCAGCGGCCAGACUGCUGUCUCAGACUGUAUGGAUACUGUUCUGUGUUCUUAUCGACUGAAGGGGAGAACCACAGUUGGGCUGAAGUUCUCCGCGCAGCUCCUGGGACUUUUGAGUUCUUGUGAGGUGAUCACUGGUCUCACUCCUCUUGUUUGAUCUCCCCCGGACUCUCUGCUAAGUUAAGGUCCAUUCCCUACCACGCCCACUGUCUUCUUUCUCGAGAUUCUUAGCUUCUGGUCUUUGUGUGAAACACGUGGCUCUCUCCAAGUGAAGCCCAGAAAGCUACAUGGCGGAGGGAAGGUUGUGGGCCGUUAGCUCCUGAGCUGCUGCUCCAGAGCCAGAGUCUCUUCGCAUGGUCCACCUGCGCUCGAUGCAGUUUCACGAUGAGAUCAAGGAGCAGGUCAUCUGGACUGGUUGGGAUGGUUUCAGAAGAAGCCCGAAUACUUCCUGAAGCAGUCCACCUCUGCUUUUGCAAGUCCUCCGGAACUUCGUACCUUGAGAGCUGGCUCAGAGGCAGCCGAGGAGCCGGCCUGGAGACUCCCCUUUCUCUAGAGAGCGGGACCACAGCUUGCUGGCUGAGCGCACAGAACCUCAAGGCCGCUCUACCUGCGUGCCCUGCUCAUGCUCCGCCCCCAGCCACUCCCUCGCCGGGCCUGUGCUGAAUCAGCAGCAUCCCCCUUGCUCUCUUGGCAUGGUGCAGCCCGGCUAAGCCAAGUGUGGUUACAAUGAGUCGGUUCAUCUGGAAGCUCGCAUCCUGUACCCUUUUCCAAUGUGAUGUUCCAGCCAACUGGCACCCAAGAGUAAAGAAAAACCCUGGGAACCGAGGCUGCUGAGGACUUACAGCCUUGCACAAGCCAAGGGCAAGGGCAACAUUGAGGGGAAGGUCUCCCCGCUGCCAGGCCUUUCUCUCUACUCCAUCUUGGUUCCUGUCUAGCAGCACAUGGCCCUGGCUGGCAGUCAGCGAUCCGCUGCUGGUACUUGUUGGUGGCUUGGCUGUCCUCCAUCUAGCCAGGGCAUUUGGACCUUUUUUCUAAUUCCGCUUAUGAGCUCGGGAAGCGAGCCAGUAGGUUCCCUUGGAAAUUGCCUCUAUUGAUGUCAUUUUCCAUCCUAGUCCCCGGGGGAAUCUGUUUCUCUAUUUCCUCCACAUUGACACUACUCUUGCCCUUGGCUCAAAUACAGAAGCCUCAGGUAGCACCAAAGCCAUGGGGAGGGGAAGGGAUGGGGGGGCAGAUGUAAGGGACGGAGGUCAUGGGGCACUUGGGUGGCUCCGUUGGUUAAGUAUCCGACUCUUGAUUUCAGCUCAGGUUAUGAUCUUGCAGUUCCUGAGUUUGAGCCCCACAUCAGGCUCUGCACGCACAGCACAGAGCCUGCCUUGGAUCUUCUGUCUCCCUAUCUCUGCCCCUCCCUGACUCGAACUCGUACUCUGUCUCUCAAGAACAAAAAAAUGUUAAAAAAAAACCUUAAAGAUGGAGGCGGUAAAAUGUUUACAUCUGGUCAAAGUGAUAGAUGAAGCUUUGAGCCCCCAGGGUUGUAAAGUCACCCAAGGAGGGAGGGAGUCACAGGCUUAUUUCUUAGCCCCCGGACUGAUUGGCUAUGGCUUUUGUCAGGAACUCUCUGGCACAUCCGUGAGCACCAGUGUUGACAUUGGUUAUGGGCUGAAUCACACCCCACCCUCCGCCCACACAUUCAUAUGAAAUCUUAGCUAUCGGUACCUCAGCAUAGCUCUGUAUUUGGAAAUCGAGUCUUGGGGCGCCUGGGUGGCGCAGUCGGUUAAGCAUCCGACUUCAGCCAGGUCACGAUCUCGCGGUCCGUGAGUUCCAGCCCCGCGUCAGGCUCUGGGCUGAUGGCUCGGAGCCUGUUUCCGAUUCUGUGUCCCCCUCUCUCUCUACCCCUCCCCCACUCAUGCUCUGUCUCUCUCUGUCUCAAAAAUAAAUAAACGCUGGAAAUCGAGUCUUUUAAAAGGUAAUUAAGGUACCAGUGAGGUCAUAUAGGUGAGCCCUAAUCCAGUAUGACCGGUGUCCUUAUAAGUGGAGAUGUGGACACAGACAGGCAUGGAGAAAAGACCACAUGAAGACAGAGGAGAAGGUGGUUGUUUGCAAGACAAGCAGAGCAACCCUGAGAAGAUACCAAUCUUAUCGUCAUUCCUGUUCUUAGACGCCUACCCCCAGUGUUGCGGGAAAAUAAAUUCCCAUUGUUUAAACCAUA